Molecule: long non-coding RNA, 521 nt
Organism: Polyodon spathula (Mississippi paddlefish)
Lineage: Eukaryota; Metazoa; Chordata; Actinopteri; Acipenseriformes; Polyodontidae
Exons: 3
Source: RefSeq, a predicted model, not a curated record
UGUGCGCAUCAAGUGACACACGCAACUGAAAACAAUGACAGGCUCUUACUGCUGACUGUUUGUGGAGGAGCUGACUUGGCUGAAUCGUACACUAUCUGAGAUCUGGGAAGGAUAAACCAGCACACUAGGCAAUUGGAAUAUCCCUGCAGCUUUGAAGUGAUGGGUUGGCUUGAGGAACCAAAUUGGCAGAUUAAUAUUUCUUUGAUCAUGUUGCUGUCUCUACAAACCAAUGCAAACCUCUUGGAUAGCAUGCUGCUGAGGAGUUCAGGGAAGCUGAAUUUGGACAGCAAGAAGGAGGAUGGCGAGAGCAAUGUAGCUGUAUCACCUAAGCAGCUCCUGUUUUGUUCCUGCGAUCAUCACUGUCCUGAAGACUCAAAUAAUAACACAUGCACCUGAGUUUAUGAUCAGCUUUUUUAAUGGUUUAAAGUUCGAGUUCGGUUAAAACUGAUGAAUAAAAUAAAUUUAGAGUUUGUUCUGUUUAAAUCUAAAAAUAUGUUUGAUCACCCUGAUAGAAGUAGGUU